GGUUAAGCGACUAAGCGUACACGGUGGAUGCCCUGGCAGUCAGAGGCGAUGAAGGACGUGCUAAUCUGCGAAAAGCGUCGGUAAGGUGAUAUGAACCGUUAUARCCGGCGAUGUCCGAAUGGGGAAACCCAGUGCAAUUCGUUGCACUAUCGUUAACUGAAUACAUAGGUUAACGAGGCGAACCGGGGGAACUGAAACAUCUAAGUACCCCGAGGAAAAGAAAUCAACCGAGAUUCCCCCAGUAGCGGCGAGCGAACGGGGAGCAGCCCAGAGUCUGAAUCAGCUUGUGUGUUAGUGGAACGGUCUGGAAAGUCCGACGGUACAGGGUGAUAGUCCCGUACACCAAAAUGCACAGGCUGUGAACUCGAAGAGUAGGGCGGGACACGUGGUAUCCUGUCUGAAUAUGGGGGGACCAUCCUCCAAGGCUAAAUACUCCUGACUGACCGAUAGUGAACCAGUACCGUGAGGGAAAGGCGAAAAGAACCCCGGCGAGGGGAGUGAAAAAGAACCUGAAACCGUGUACGUACAAGCAGUGGGAGCACCUUCGGGUGUGACUGCGUACCUUUUGUAUAAUGGGUCAGCGACUUAUAUUCUGUAGCAAGGUUAACCGUAUAGGGGAGCCGCAGGGAAACCGAGUCUUAACUGGGCGUUAAGUUGCAGGGUAUAGACCCGAAACCCGGUGAUCUAGCCAUGGGCAGGUUGAAGGUUGGGUAACACUAACUGGAGGACCGAACCGACUAAUGUUGAAAAAUUAGCGGAUGACUUGUGGCUGGGGGUGAAAGGCCAAUCAAACCGGGAGAUAGCUGGUUCUCCCCGAAAGCUAUUUAGGUAGCGCCUCGUGAACUCAUCUUCGGGGGUAGAGCACUGUUUCGGCUAGGGGGUCAUCCCGACUUACCAACCCGAUGCAAACUACGAAUACCGAAGAAUGUUAUCACGGGAGACACACGGCGGGUGCUAACGUCCGUCGUGAAGAGGGAAACAACCCAGACCGCCAGCUAAGGUCCCAAAGUCAUGGUUAAGUGGGAAACGAUGUGGGAAGGCACAGACAGCCAGGAUGUUGGCUUAGAAGCAGCCAUCAUUUAAAGAAAGCGUAAUAGCUCACUGGUCGAGUCGGCCUGCGCGGAAGAUGUAACGGGGCUAAACCAUGCACCGAAGCUGCGGCAGCGACACUAUGUGUUGUUGGGUAGGGGAGCGUUCUGUAAGCCUGCGAAGGUGUGCUGUGAGGCAUGCUGGAGGUAUCAGAAGUGCGAAUGCUGACAUAAGUAACGAUAAAGCGGGUGAAAAGCCCGCUCGCCGGAAGACCAAGGGUUCCUGUCCAACGUUAAUCGGGGCAGGGUGAGUCGACCCCUAAGGCGAGGCCGAAAGGCGUAGUCGAUGGGAAACAGGUUAAUAUUCCUGUACUUGGUGUUACUGCGAAGGGGGGACGGAGAAGGCUAUGUUAGCCGGGCGACGGUUGUCCCGGUUUAAGCAUGUAGGCUGAUUGUCCAGGCAAAUCCGGAUAAUCAAGGCUGAGGUGUGAUGACGAGGCACUACGGUGCUGAAGUAACAAAUGCCCUGCUUCCAGGAAAAGCCUCUAAGCAUCAGGUAACAUCAAAUCGUACCCCAAACCGACACAGGUGGUCAGGUAGAGAAUACCAAGGCGCUUGAGAGAACUCGGGUGAAGGAACUAGGCAAAAUGGUGCCGUAACUUCGGGAGAAGGCACGCUGGUGUGUAGGUGAAGUCCCUGCGGAUGGAGCUGAGACCAGUCGAAGAUACCAGCUGGCUGCAACUGUUUAUUAAAAACACAGCACUGUGCAAACACGAAAGUGGACGUAUACGGUGUGACGCCUGCCCGGUGCCGGAAGGUUAAUUGAUGGGGUUAUCCGUAAGGAGAAGCUCUUGAUCGAAGCCCCGGUAAACGGCGGCCGUAACUAUAACGGUCCUAAGGUAGCGAAAUUCCUUGUCGGGUAAGUUCCGACCUGCACGAAUGGCGUAAUGAUGGCCAGGCUGUCUCCACCCGAGACUCAGUGAAAUUGAACUCGCUGUGAAGAUGCAGUGUACCCGCGGCAAGACGGAAAGACCCCGUGAACCUUUACUAUAGCUUGACACUGAACAUUGAGCCUUGAUGUGUAGGAUAGGUGGGAGGCUUUGAAGCGUGGACGCCAGUCUGCGUGGAGCCAACCUUGAAAUACCACCCUUUAAUGUUUGAUGUUCUAACGUUGGCCCCUNACCGGGGUUGCGGACAGUGUCUGGUGGGUAGUUUGACUGGGGCGGUCUCCUCCCAAAGCGUAACGGAGGAGCACGAAGGUUAGCUAAUCCUGGUCGGACAUCAGGAGGUUAGUGCAAUGGCAUAAGCUAGCUUGACUGCGAGCGUGACGGCGCGAGCAGGUGCGAAAGCAGGUCAUAGUGAUCCGGUGGUUCUGAAUGGAAGGGCCAUCGCUCAACGGAUAAAAGGUACUCCGGGGAUAACAGGCUGAUACCGCCCAAGAGUUCAUAUCGACGGCGGUGUUUGGCACCUCGAUGUCGGCUCAUCACAUCCUGGGGCUGAAGUAGGUCCCAAGGGUAUGGCUGUUCGCCAUUUAAAGUGGUACGCGAGCUGGGUUUAGAACGUCGUGAGACAGUUCGGUCCCUAUCUGCCGUGGGCGCUGGAGAAUUGAGGGGGGCUGCUCCUAGUACGAGAGGACCGGAGUGGACGCAUCACUGGUGUUCGGGUUGUCAUGCCAAUGGCACUGCCCGGUAGCUAAAUGCGGAAGAGAUAAGUGCUGAAAGCAUCUAAGCACGAAACUUGCCCCGAGAUGAGUUCUCCCUGAGACUUUAAGUCUCCUGAAGGAACGUUNNGACGAUGACGUUGAUAGGCCGGGUGUGUAAGCGCAGCGAUGCGUUGAGCUAACCGGUACUAAUGAACCGUGAGGCUUAACCUU
RNAcentral lists this ribosomal RNA (2901 nucleotides) under Klebsiella pneumoniae. RNAcentral describes it as "23S ribosomal RNA". The record is from RNAcentral. Lineage: Bacteria; Pseudomonadati; Pseudomonadota; Gammaproteobacteria; Enterobacterales; Enterobacteriaceae.